GACAAAUAGGUAUCAUUGGGGUUGAUUCAUACACUCCAUAGGGUAUAAAGUAUAAUUUCACAGAAAUGGCAUUUUUGAAAACAGAAAACAAUAUAUAUUGAUGACAAUAACAUUUCAGUCACACAGAAUCUCACUGGAGUGAGAAGUAAAGAGAAACGCUUUGCACCCAGUAGGGGAAACAGAGGGAUAUUCUGCAUCUGUUUAAGAGAGCAGUAAGAACAAAUUCAGUGCUGCAUUUAAAGACUUUAACCUACUUCAAGACAUUUUAAGUCUGAGUAAAUACAAGUGAUUUUCAAUAUGGAAAAAGAAAGUGUCACACUUGCACUAGGUAGUUUUAUAGUAUUUUUAGAAGGAGUCACGCUUAGAAUAUCAAACAUUUGCAGUUACUAUGCUCUUUUACAGACAAGAGCUACAGAUUGCUAUUGUGAUCGGAGCAUUCUAAAACAAGAAUUACUCAGCAAAACUAUAAAAUUGAGAACAGAUUUUCAGCUGAAGGUAUCGUUAAGAUGAAAACCAAGACCACCUUAGUCAAUUUACUCAACUGCUUCAGAGACACCUCUGAGAACCUCACUGUCCUGGAGCCUUUAAUAAACCCUACUGGGAGAAACAUCAGCAUAUUAACAAGUGAAAAUUGAUCCCUUUCCUCUCACUCAAGAAUAACUUAUGUACACUCCAUUUGGAGUCUUAGUAGGGGAAAAAAUUGUCUUAGUAAUUAAGGCAA
Molecule: long non-coding RNA, 721 nt
Filed under: Bos taurus (domestic cattle)
Lineage: Eukaryota; Metazoa; Chordata; Mammalia; Artiodactyla; Bovidae
Description: long non-coding RNA NONBTAT021469
Source: RNAcentral